Molecule: ribosomal RNA, 254 nt
Filed under: uncultured bacterium
Lineage: Bacteria
Description: partial small subunit ribosomal RNA
Rfam family: Bacterial small subunit ribosomal RNA
Source: RNAcentral
AGGACGAACGCUGGCGGCGUGCUUAACACAUGCAAGUCGAGCGGAAAGGCCCUUCGGGGUACUCGAGCGGCGAACGGGUGAGUAACACGUGAGCAAUCUGCCCUUAGCUCCGGGAUAGCUCCGGGAAACCGGAAUUAAUACCGGAUACGACCACGGCCGACAUCUGCUGUGGUGGAAAGGAUUCCGGCUAAGGAUGGGCUCGCGGCCUAUCAGCUAGUUGGUGGAGUAACGGCCCACCAAGGCGACGACGGGUA